This is a regulatory RNA element of Pseudoalteromonas ulvae, 124 nucleotides long. The record is from Rfam. NCBI's taxonomy places the organism in Bacteria, Pseudomonadati, Pseudomonadota, Gammaproteobacteria, Alteromonadales, Pseudoalteromonadaceae.
CACGCCCGUAAAAUAAGCAAUUGAUGAGUCCGGCAUUUCAUGGAUGAAAUGCAAGGUGAAGCUUGGCCAUGGAUGGCCUAUCUUCACCACUGACGCUCACAUCAAUUGAUUAUUUGCAGGAUUU